UUUCAUUUUGAAAUUCUAUAGCAAAAGAACAACAAUAAAGUAUUGGUUCCACUUUUAAAUAAAUAAGGGGUUAUUUUGCUGCUGAAAGUUUUCAUUCAAAUGACUGAUCAGAUCUCACAUGUCUGUUUAAAAAUGUCUGACUUAGGUCGUUACAAAAUGACAGACUAUGAUAAACUAGAUGAUAGUUAGAAGCAAGACAAUGAGGCAUUGUUUACACAGAAGAUUGAGUAACUGGUUUAACAAAAGAGGUUCUUGGGUAUCUAUUGUAUGUACAACUACGAGAUUUACUGGAGCUUUUAUAAUUUCUGCAAGGCUCUUUUCCAGCCAGCUUCAUUAACUUGAAGUAAAUCAAAUCAUGCAGAAUUCUGGCUCAGCCAGAAAGCAACCCAGUGAGAUACAACAUGAAGAAAAACAGACACGGGAUGAUAAGAUUUAGAAUCUUUGGCAUUUUUCGUAAACAUUUUGUUUGAAGAUUAUUAAAUUACAACCCAGAGACAAAAAAAAAAAAAUAGUGAACUCACUAUUAAAUGAGAUCUUUUUAACCUUAACUUUUUUUAUAAUACAUACAUACAUAAAAACUGCACAAAGUCUGCAGGAGACAGAUGCUAUCAAAUG
This 615-nucleotide long non-coding RNA is filed under the name Homo sapiens (human). Its description in RNAcentral is "HSALNT0225041". Lineage: Eukaryota; Metazoa; Chordata; Mammalia; Primates; Hominidae. The record is from RNAcentral.